Molecule: ribosomal RNA, 497 nt
Filed under: uncultured bacterium
Lineage: Bacteria
Description: partial 16S ribosomal RNA
Rfam family: Bacterial small subunit ribosomal RNA
Source: RNAcentral
GAUGAACGCUGGCGGCGUGCCUAAUACAUGCAAGUCGAGCGAACGGACGAGGAGCUUGCUUCUCUGAUGUUAGCGGCGGACGGGUGAGUAACACGUGGAUAACCUACCUAUAAGACUGGGAUAACUUCGGGAAACCGGAGCUAAUACCGGAUGAUAUUUUGAACCGCAUGGUUCAAAAGUGAAAGACGGUCCUGCUGUCACUUAUAGAUGGAUCCGCGCUGCAUUAGCUAGUUGGUAAGGUAACGGCUUACCAAGGCAACGAUGCAUAGCCGACCUGAGAGGGUGAUCGGCCACACUGGAACUGAGACACGGUCCAGACUCCUACGGGAGGCAGCAGUAGGGAAUCUUCCGCAAUGGGCGAAAGCCUGACGGAGCAACGCCGCGUGAGUGAUGAAGGUCUUCGGAUCGUAAAACUCUGUUAUUAGGGAAGAACAUAUGUGUAAGUAACUGUGCACAUCUUGACGGUACCUAAUCAGAAAGCCACGGCUAACUACGUG